Perognathus longimembris pacificus (Pacific pocket mouse) is the source of this 930-nucleotide long non-coding RNA. RefSeq lists it as uncharacterized. The transcript is spliced from 3 exons. Lineage: Eukaryota; Metazoa; Chordata; Mammalia; Rodentia; Heteromyidae. The record is from RefSeq and is a predicted model, not a curated record.
CAAUGGCGCGGCCUUAAUGGCCCAAGUUACUCAAUUAUUAUCUAAGGCCCUAGGAAUAAAUUGGAAGUUACAUUUGCAUUUAUAGGCCUCAGUUCAGGACAGGUGGAAAGGAUGAAUAGGACCUUAAAGGAAACUUAAUUUAAAGUUAACUACAGAGACUGGCCAUGACUGGGUAAGCCUCCUCCUGUUUGCGUCCUCCAUGCAAGAUGUACCCCUUAUGAUAAAGGAUUUACUUCCUUUGAAAUAAUUUAUGGAACCCCCUUUGGUUCCUAAACUUGGGGAAGCUAUGCUAACAGAAAUGUCUAACCAUAAUCUUGUACAGUCACUGCAGGCUUUGCAACGUGUUCUUUUACGUGCCUAUCCUUUAGUGGCCGAGGACCAUCGGCCUCCUGAGAAAAACUCCAACCACUGUUUUUCACCUGGACAGCUGGUGUGGGUAAAAAGGCAUCACCCUCCUGAACUGGAACCCAAGUGGCCAGGGCCUUACUCCGUAGUACUAACUACUCCCUCAGCUAUUAAGGUUGCAGGAAAACAGCAUUGGAUCCAUCACGCUCAAGUCAAACAGGCAGUGGGACAAUAUCCAGAGACGGCUGAAAGAUGGACAGUCCAGAGACACUCGGAGGAUCCCCUGGAGGUAAGAUUUACCAAGUGUUAAUAUGUUCAGUAGGACUCUUUGUUGCUUGUUGUUAAAGUGUUACUAUGGGGAGAGCUUUUCUGCCCAUACCUUGUACUGUAUUAUCUGUUGGAUUUUGAUGUGGGUAAGAGUAGUUCAGAAUUUGGCCCAAAAAGACAAUCAGUGAUUUGAUUGGACAUAAAACCAGUGGGGAAUGUAAUAACCUGAGGGGCAGAAGCCCCUCCCCACGUUGGCGUGAUUGCCACGCCCCACUGCAGAAGAAAGAGGAGCUCCCGCCCCACAUUGAUGGGCAGAGG